RNAcentral lists this ribosomal RNA (97 nucleotides) under Vibrio mediterranei. RNAcentral's name for it is "partial 23S ribosomal RNA". The record is from RNAcentral. Lineage: Bacteria; Pseudomonadati; Pseudomonadota; Gammaproteobacteria; Vibrionales; Vibrionaceae.
GUUGUAUGGUUAAGUGACUAAGCGUACACGGUGGAUGCCUUGGCAGUCAGAGGCGAUGAAAGGCGUAUUAACUUGCGAUAAGCCUAGAUUAGGUAGU